Molecule: long non-coding RNA, 778 nt
Organism: Solanum dulcamara
Lineage: Eukaryota; Viridiplantae; Streptophyta; Magnoliopsida; Solanales; Solanaceae
Exons: 2
Source: RefSeq, a predicted model, not a curated record
UCUCCUCCAACGUUAAAAGCCCAUUUUUGCCUUCUCGCUUCUUCCUCUUUUCAAAUUAUAAACCCUAAAUCCCCAAAUUUCUGCCAUUGAUGCCAUUUUCAAUCUCGCUUCUUUCUCUUUUCUUUUCUUUUUCUGUCUCUCUCCUCCAACCCUCUUCUCCAUCCAUCUUUUCUAAUAAUUUUGACGCCAUGUCCCAAAAUUCAAUGAAUAUCGAGGAAGUCAAUAUAUGUAAUUGCGGUUAUUAUUGUCGUCUCAAAACUUCAAGGACUCCAUUGAAUCCAGGUCGUAGAUUUUUUGGAUGCAAAGCUUCAAAGACAAGUGGUGGAUGAGGCUAUUUUAGAUGGAUUGAUCCAUCGCCUGAAAGUGCUGAAGUGUCGUGCUCAAUGAAUAAAUUCAAAGAUGGUAAAAAUUCGAUUGAUCGAUCUAAGGAAAAAUUGAAAGAGCUUCAAGAAGGAAGGAAUUCUUUGAAAUUGAAUGAUCAUGAAGAGACGAUGAUGGUAGUUAAUCAGAAACUCAAGGAAGUUAAACUACAAAGAAAUCGGGCAAAUGCUAAAUUUAACAGACUUGUGCUUGUUCUUCUUUGUCUACUAACUAUAAAAUGGUUCUUUAAUAUAGUGUAGUUUUAUAGUAGUUUAAAGUGUAGUACUUAAUUGUUAAGUUUUAUCGUAGUAGGCCAGUGUAGAAAUAUGUUGAAUUAGCUAGUUAUGUUUUGUAUCAAAUUGAAAGCUUGAGUGUGAAUUAGCUUUGUUUUAUAUCAAAUUAAAAGCUUGAAUGUGAA